This 305-nucleotide ribosomal RNA is filed under the name uncultured bacterium. Its description in RNAcentral is "bacterial SSU rRNA". It matches the Rfam family "Bacterial small subunit ribosomal RNA", at positions 333 to 630 of the family's 1533-position model. The record is from RNAcentral.
GAUUUCCUACGGGGGGCAGCAGUGGGGAAUUUUGGACAAUGGGCGCAAGCCUGAUCCAGCUAUUCCGCGUGUGGGAUGAAGGCCCUCGGGUUAUAAACCACUUUUGUAGAGAACGAAAAGACACCUUCGAAUAAAGGGUGUUGCUGACGGUACUCUAAGAAUAAGCACCGGCUAACUACGUGCCAGCAGCCGCGGUAAUACGUAGGGUGCGAGCGUCAAUCGGAAUUACUGGGCGUAAAGGGUGCGCAGGCGGUUGAGUAAGACAGAUGGGAAAUCCCCGAGCUUAACUCGGGAAUGGCAUAUGG